CUCAAUAAAGUGGUAAAAUCCAUUAUCUUUAUUCAAAUACAAAAGAAACCUUGAGAUUUUAUGACUCCAUAACGACUUUUACGACUCCUGGCAUUUGAGUCACUUUGGAAAUCCGUCUCAUGCUCCAGCCUCCCUGACCUGUGGCAGGCUCUACCACAUUUCUACAACCAAGCGGCCAGUAAAGAUGAAAGCAAUUCUUUUGUCUGAGGAGCUGGCCAUGGGAGCGUAUCAACCACAGACAUGACCUCAAGCACAGUCUGGGGAAGACUUUGGCCACAGCCCACACUACAAGGCUGUUUACCAAGCCUGCUGGAGCCUCUGAAGGGCAGCAGCCAGCUCACCCCCCAUGCCCUGGAUGGCAACAAGGCACAGGAGACCGCAGAGCAUACAAACAGGGCAAGAGGAAACCAUCUAUCAAUGACCAGGGACCAGAGGAAGCAAAGUUCUAACAUCUCGCUCACGUUCUCCCAAGGCCCAGAGCACUCCUCUUCUUGGUGGAUACCAAUGCACUUUGAGAAGAAGCAGGAAUGCAUGUAUUUCUAAACAAUGAACUUUGGAGAAAUUAACAGGCAAAGGAUCAAGUACUACUAAUAUAAAAAUGAAAAGAUGAUACCAGGCAAAGUAAAACCUGGGUUGUGGUGACAGCAGCACUCGUGUCUGACGUCUGAUGCAGACCCUUCCAUGAAGGCAGGUCACUGACUUGCUCUCACCCUCAGCCCCUCUGCAUAUAAUUCUCAGUUUCUCCAGAAAGCAUUUUACCUGUGCUUCAGAGGGACUAUUUAACAAAGACAUUUGCCAUUUUCCACUCCUUCUUUAGCCUCCCUAGGAGAUGCCCGGUGGUAAGUCUAUGAAGCUAACACGGUGCACCCACACCUCCAUCCCUGUCCCUGUCCUGCCACAUGGCUGCCUCUUUUGAGGACUCCACCUGGGUCAUUGAAUAUACUCUGGAGGGCACAGUGAUCUAGCCUUCCCAUUGUUUCUUACUUCUUUUUGCAGCACUGUCUUCCUUAGAAUCAGGCAUAAAAUCAUGGGACUCCAAUGGAAGACUCAGGGGACCCUGACCCACGGCCAGGCAGACAGCCCCUCAUGGGCCCAGAUAACCCUUCAUCCAUAUGAAUUGAACACUGUAAGAUAUCCACAGCUUCAGUUCUCAUAGCUGGGACCUCUGCUUUAUGCCAUAAAGUUUACUGAGAAACAAGCAUUUGUUCACUCUUCUGGGCAGUGGGCACAGUGCUGCAUCUUUAUGAGGCUUUUGUGAGGACUAAAGAGACCCUAUAUGCUCAGUUCAUUAUAAGGGCUUAGCAGGUGCUAUUAACCUUUCCUUCUCACUGAAUCAGGCUGACACCCAGAGGAAGCACAGCCUCCCCUCUGAAGCUUCCUCUACUGCAGUCUCUGUGCUCAUCGCAAGGAUCUCUCCAUAUUGACUUAUAUUUGUUUCUGGUCUUAUAUUUUUCUCUAUGGACAGACUUCUAUUUUCAGAAGAUAGAUAUUUAAGUCACAAUAUUCUGGACUCUGGCUUAGUUAGACCAACCGUCUCUUGAUCGUCUGUGGAAACUGAAUCAGGAACACCCCAGAGAGCUGGCUCUGGAUGUAAUUCACAGCUUCAUUUAAUUAUUAUCAUCAAAGUUAAUGAAGGCCAUAAACUGUUUCAUAACAUACCAAUGGGAAGUGUGAUUGGAGGGAAAGCUGGACACCUCACCAUAAAACUGGCACAGCAGAAACGGCUCGACUUAACAAAACCUUCUUAUGAAGAAAAAGACAAUGAAACCAUGUUCAGUUUAGUGAACCUUUCACACUUGGCAACAUGAAUGUUAAGUCAAAAGAACAAUGGAGCUAUGAGUUUUUUUAAUCAAAUUUUUAUUUUGGGUCAAAUAAGCCAUUUUGUUUGUUUGUUAUUAAGUGUAAAGAGAGCUUUCGGUUAGCUAUUUAGUUAUAACUUUAUCUCACCCACUUCUAAAAAAGCGUUGAGGCUACUUGAAGUAAAGUCCUGUAGACGAGAGAGCGUAACACUAAAAGAUAGAAAGAAAACUUAGAAGAUGGAAGAGAAAUAAUUGCACUAGAAACCUGGCCAAUAUCAUGAACAGGCUCCAUAUAGGGACUCCUGUAUAUAGAUCGCUGUGUGUGUGGAUAGUACGUUCAAUAAAUGUAUUAUCUGAACUGCUUUUAAAGUUCUACUCUUGGAUUCCUGAAAUACUAUCUCUAUGGAUUUGCCUAUUCUGGAUGCUUCAUAUAGAUGGAAUCAUUCAUUACGCAACCCUUUGUAUCUGGCUUCUUUCAUUUAGCAUGAGGCUUUCCAGGUUCAUCCAUAUCAUAAGAAGUAUCAGUAUUUUACUCCACUUUAAAGUUCUGUAAUAGUUACUAUCUAUCUAUUUGGUAUACAUACAUGUAUAUAUUAAUUUUGCUUAUCCAUUUAUUCAUUUAUGAACAUUUGGAUUGUUUCUACCUCUUGGAAUUGUAAAUCAUGC
This 2465-nucleotide long non-coding RNA is filed under the name Homo sapiens (human). RNAcentral's name for it is "HSALNT0383650". Lineage: Eukaryota; Metazoa; Chordata; Mammalia; Primates; Hominidae. The record is from RNAcentral.